AUUGAACGCUGGCGGAAUGCUUUACACAUGCAAGUCGAACGGCAGCACGGGGGCAACCCUGGUGGCGAGUGGCGAACGGGUGAGUAAUACAUCGGAACGUGCCCAGUCGUGGGGGAUAACGUAGCGAAAGUUAGGCUAAUACCGCAUACGACCUACGGUUGAAAGCGGGGAACCGUAAGGCCCCGCGCGAGUGGCGCGGCAGAUGUCAGGCUAGGAAGUUGGUGGGGUAAAGGAUCACCAAGCGGACGAUCAGUAGCUGGUCUGAGAGGACGACCAGCCACACGGGGACGGAGAAACGGCACAGACUCCUACGGGAGGCAGCAGUGGGGAGUGUUGGACAAUGGGCGCAAGCCUGAUCCAGCCAUUCCGCGCGCAGGACGAAGGCCUUCGGGUUGUAAACUGCUUUUGUACGGAACGAAAAGGCUCUGGUUAAUACCUGGUGCUCAUGACGGUACCGUAAGAAUAAGCACCGGCUAACUACGUGCCAGCCGCCGCCGUAA
RNAcentral lists this ribosomal RNA (500 nucleotides) under uncultured bacterium. RNAcentral describes it as "partial 16S ribosomal RNA". It matches the Rfam family "Bacterial small subunit ribosomal RNA", at positions 29 to 523 of the family's 1533-position model. The record is from RNAcentral.